Molecule: ribosomal RNA, 481 nt
Filed under: uncultured bacterium
Lineage: Bacteria
Description: partial 16S ribosomal RNA
Rfam family: Bacterial small subunit ribosomal RNA
Source: RNAcentral
GACGAACGCUGGCGGCGUGCUUAACACAUGCAAGUCGAGCGGAAAGGCCACUUCGGUGGUACUCGAGCGGCGAACGGGUGGGUAACACGUGAGUAAUCUGCCCCUGGCUUUGGGAUAGCCACCGGAAACGGUGAUUAAUACCGGAUACGACCACUUCUCGCAUGGGAUGGUGGUGGAAAGUUUUUUCGGCCAGGGAUGUGCUCGCGGCCUAUCAGCUUGAUGGUGAGGUAAUGGCUCACCAUGGCUUCGACGGGUAGCCGGCCUGAGAGGGUGACCGGUCACACUAGGACUGAGACACGGCCCAGACUCCUACGGGAGGCAGCAGUGGGGAAUAUUGGACAAUGGGCGGAAGCCUGAUCCAGCAACGCCGCGUGAGGGAUGACGGCCUUCGGGUUGUAAACCUCUUUCAGCAGGGACGAAGCGCAAGUGACGGUACCUGCAGAAGAAGCACCGGCCAACUACGUGCCAGCCGCCGCGGUAA